Molecule: ribosomal RNA, 497 nt
Filed under: uncultured bacterium
Lineage: Bacteria
Description: partial 16S ribosomal RNA
Rfam family: Bacterial small subunit ribosomal RNA
Source: RNAcentral
GAUGAACGCUGGCGGCGUGCCUAAUACAUGCAAGUCGAGCGAACAGACGAGGAGCUUGCUCCUCUGACGUUAGCGGCGGACGGGUGAGUAACACGUGGAUAACCUACCUAUAAGACUGGGAUAACUUCGGGAAACCGGAGCUAAUACCGGAUAAUAUAUUGAACCGCAUGGUUCAAUAGUGAAAGACGGUUUUGCUGUCACUUAUAGAUGGAUCCGCGCCGCAUUAGCUAGUUGGUAAGGUAACGGCUUACCAAGGCAACGAUGCGUAGCCGACCUGAGAGGGUGAUCGGCCACACUGGAACUGAGACACGGUCCAGACUCCUACGGGAGGCAGCAGUAGGGAAUCUUCCGCAAUGGGCGAAAGCCUGAUGGAGCAACGCCGCGUGAGUGAUGAAGGUCUUCGGAUCGUAAAGCUCUGUUAUUAGGGAAGAACAAAUGUGUAAGUAACUAUGAACGUCUUGACGGUACCUAAUCAGAAAGCCACGGCUAACUACGUG